Molecule: ribosomal RNA, 913 nt
Filed under: uncultured archaeon
Lineage: Archaea
Description: bacterial SSU rRNA
Rfam family: Archaeal small subunit ribosomal RNA
Source: RNAcentral
CCGGUUGAUCCUGCCGGAGGCGACCGCUAUUGGAAUUCGAUUAAGCCAUGCGAGUCGAGAGUCUUAGGGACUCGGCGUACCGCUCAGUAACACGUGGGUAACCUGCCCUGUGCUGGGGAAUAACCUCGGGAAACUGAGAAUAAUGCCCCAUAAUUCACUACGCCUGGAACGGUGGGUGGAUCAAAGCUCCGGCGGCACAGGAUGGGCCUGCGGCGUAUCAGGUCGUAGGGGGUGUAAUGUACCCUCUAGCCUUCAACGCGUACGGGUUGUGGGAGCAAUCGCCCGGAGAUGGAUUCUGAGACACGAAUCCAGACCCUACGGGGUGCAGCAGGCGCGAAAACUUCACACUGCAGGAAACUGUGAUGAGGGAAUUCCAAGUGGCCAGACAAAGUCUGGUCUUUUAUGUAACUUUUAAUCGGUUACAGAACAAAGAGGUGGGAAAGACCGGUGCCAGCCGCCGCGGUAAUACCGGCACCUCAAGUGGUCGUCGCUUUUAUUGGGCCUAAAACGUCCGUCGCCUGUUUGGUACAUUCGUGGGUAAAUCAAGCCGCUUAACGGCUUGAAUUCUGCGAGGACGGCCAGACUAGGGACCGGGAGAGGUAUGGGGUACUCUCAGGGUAGGGGUAAAAUCCAGUCAUCCUGAGGGGACCACCUGUUGCGAAGGCGCCAUACUAGAACGGAUCCGACGGUCAGGGACGAAGCCUAGGGGCACGAACCGGAUUAGAUACCCGGGUAGUCCUAGGUGUAAACGCUGUGGACUUGGUGUUGGGGAUUCUACGAGUAUCCCCAGUGCCGAAGUGAAGAUGUUAAGUCCACUGCCUGGGGAGUACGGUCGCAAGGCUGAAACUUAAAGGAAUUGGCGGGGGAGCACAGCAACGAGAGGAGCGUGCGGUUUAAUUGGAUCAACGCCGGG